CAGUAGCUCCAAAGAGCUAAAAUGAGGAGCAAAAAUGGUUAAAACCCAUCAUUAACGAAGCAGCAGCAGUAGCCUUGAAAAGGCUGAAAAUUGAUGAUUUUUGGACUCUCAAAAGUCCACUAAAACAGCAGCAACAACAGCUCAAAAUGCUGAAACAUGAAGAGCAAAAUUGGGUUAAAACCCAUAAGGAAUGGGGCAACAGUUCGCAACAAUUUCAGCCCCCAAAAUGGUCGAAUAUGGGCUGAAAAUUUCAGUUUUAUAAUUCACUGUUUAUGUUUAUUUNNN
RNAcentral lists this long non-coding RNA (285 nucleotides) under Solanum tuberosum (potato). RNAcentral describes it as "long non-coding RNA (STUB_LNC001046)". Lineage: Eukaryota; Viridiplantae; Streptophyta; Magnoliopsida; Solanales; Solanaceae. The record is from RNAcentral.